Molecule: ribosomal RNA, 253 nt
Filed under: uncultured bacterium
Lineage: Bacteria
Description: partial 16S ribosomal RNA
Rfam family: Bacterial small subunit ribosomal RNA
Source: RNAcentral
GACGUAGGGUGCGAGCGUUGUCCGGAUUUAUUGGGCGUAAAGGGCGCGUAGGCGGGCUUCCAAGUCCGUGGUGAAAUCCCCCGGCUCAACCGGGGAACGGCCUCGGAUACUGGCGGCCUGGAGGCGGGUAGGGGCAAGCGGAACUGUGGGUGGAGCGGUGAAAUGCGUUGAGAUCCACAGGAACUCCGGUGGCGAAGGCGGCUUGCUGGACCCGAUCUGACGCUGAGGCGCGAAAGCCAGGGGAGCGAACGGG